Molecule: ribosomal RNA, 497 nt
Filed under: uncultured bacterium
Lineage: Bacteria
Description: partial 16S ribosomal RNA
Rfam family: Bacterial small subunit ribosomal RNA
Source: RNAcentral
GAUGAACGCUGGCGGCGUGCCUAAUACAUGCAAGUCGAGCGAACAGACGAGGAGCUUGCUCCUCUGACGUUAGCGGCGGACGGGUGAGUAACACGUGGAUAACCUACCUAUAAGACUGGGAUAACUUCGGGAGACCGGAGCUAAUACCGGAUAACAUGUUGAACCGCAUGGUUCAACAGUGAAAGACGGUCUUGCUGUCACUUAUAGAUGGAUCCGCGCCGCAUUAGCUAGUUGGUAAGGUAACGGCUUACCAAGGCAACGAUGCGUAGCCGACCUGAGAGGGUGAUCGGCCACACUGGAACUGAGACACGGUCCAGACUCCUACGGGAGGCAGCAGUAGGGAAUCUUCCGCAAUGGGCGAAAGCCUGACGGAGCAACGCCGCGUGAGUGAAGAAGGUCUUCGGAUCGUAAAACUCUGUUAUUAGGGAAGAACAAAUGUGUAAGUAACUAUGCACGUCUUGACGGUACCUAAUCAGAAAGCCACGGCUAGCUACGUG